CGGGAAAUAGCUCAGCUUGGUAGAGCACCACGUUCGGGACGUGGGGGUCGCAAGUUCAAAUCUUGUUUUCCCGA
Molecule: transfer RNA, 74 nt
Filed under: Lacticaseibacillus songhuajiangensis
Lineage: Bacteria; Bacillati; Bacillota; Bacilli; Lactobacillales; Lactobacillaceae
Also listed under: 2 other names
Description: tRNA-Pro
Rfam family: tRNA
About the family: Transfer RNA (tRNA) molecules are approximately 80 nucleotides in length. Their secondary structure includes four short double-helical elements and three loops (D, anti-codon, and T loops). Further hydrogen bonds mediate the characteristic L-shaped molecular structure. tRNAs have two regions of fundamental functional importance: the anti-codon, which is responsible for specific mRNA codon recognition, and the 3' end, to which the tRNAs corresponding amino acid is attached (by aminoacyl-tRNA synthetases). tRNAs cope with the degeneracy of the genetic code in two manners: having more than one tRNA (with a specific anti-codon) for a particular amino acid; and 'wobble' base-pairing, i.e. permitting non-standard base-pairing at the 3rd anti-codon position.
Source: RNAcentral